CCAUUUCAUUGGAAGAAAAGAGGAAAAAAAAGGGGGGUGGGGGGGCUUGACACAAAGACCCACGCAUUAAACCCAGAUUUUGAGCACUUAUACUCGAAAUUAGGGCUAUCAAUUCAAAGUUUUAUACUCAACUGAAAGGUUGAGUUCUUCAUUUUAAAAUUUGAUUUUCUUUUAUUGGUGUGGUGGAGCUUUGGGUUGGGGAAGCACAAGAAGGCUCCCAAAUCUAUUCUUGACCAAGGCUGCACCUCAAAAAGGUCAAAACCAAGACUGUUGGGCUGAGGCCCAACAGACAAAUUCUUUCAGAAAAUACAAAAGUCCAGGUCGAAGGAAAUAGAAGCUAAUAUUGUACGUGUACGCAUCGAAGGCCCAGCCACGGAUAAAAAUGGUCAACUAGGCGUUUGGUACACCCCUAGCCUAGCCCUUUCCUCUACGUAUGAUAUUUUAUUUGAAUGUUGUAUUUGUAUAACUUGUAAACAUUUAUCUUAUAGUGGAAUCCUUUAUGGUUAUGAA
This is a long non-coding RNA of Lycium ferocissimum, 510 nucleotides long. RefSeq lists it as uncharacterized. The transcript is spliced from 2 exons. Lineage: Eukaryota; Viridiplantae; Streptophyta; Magnoliopsida; Solanales; Solanaceae. The record is from RefSeq and is a predicted model, not a curated record.